CCAGCAACUUGGAGGAAUGGAUAGCAAUAGCUGAUUGCAGCAACAAACAGUUGCUGCAAUAUCGACGAUGUCGAAUAAAAUUCUAGGUAGAAUUAUGAUAAUGACAUUGUCUACCUAUGUGUCUUGACCAAAUUACGUGCCAGCAGUCGCGGUAAUACGUAGAAGACUAGUGUUAUUCAUCUUUAAUUGGUUUAAAGGGUACCUAGACGGCAAAUCAAGCCUUAAUUUUUAGGAGGGACUAAUUAGCUAGAGUUACUUAUGAGGGGGUUUUAAAGUACUGCUGGAGUAGAGAUGAAAUUCCGUCAUACCUCAGUUUCGUAAAAGAAGCAAGAUGGCACAGGUAUAGGUGAAAGCAUCCCCUUAUGUGAUAACUGACGUUGAAGGACGAAGGCUUUCUGUAGCGAACAGGAUUAGAUACCCCAGUAGUCGGAGCAGAAAAUGAUGAAUGUCAUAGGUUAGAUAUUAUUUAUCCUAUAAAUGAAAGUGUAAGCAUUCCACCUCAAGAGUAAUUUGGCAACAUUGGAACUGAAAUCAUUAGACCGUUUCUGAAACCAGUAGUGAAGUAUGUUGUUUAAUUAGACGAUACGCAAAAAACCUUACCACAAUCUGUAUAUUUAUAUCUCUUCUUUUCUCUUUUUUUAUCUUUUUUUCUUUUUUUUUUCUUUUAUAUCUUCUUCUUUUGCUAACGAAGUUAUGCAAAGGAAGAUAUAAUAAUAUAAAAGAAAAAAAAGAAAAAAAGAUAAAAAAUAAGAGAAGAAAAUGUAUUUACAAGCGUUGCACGGCUGUCUUCAGUUAAUGUCGUGAGACUAUGGUUAGUUCCAUUAAAUUAACGUAAACCCUUACUUUAUUUUUAUAUAGAGUUGUUCCCCGCUAGAUUGGAUAUGAUAACAGGACUA
RNAcentral lists this ribosomal RNA (896 nucleotides) under Lecanora atra. RNAcentral's name for it is "partial 12S small subunit ribosomal RNA". It matches the Rfam family "Bacterial small subunit ribosomal RNA", at positions 355 to 1151 of the family's 1533-position model. The record is from RNAcentral. Lineage: Eukaryota; Fungi; Ascomycota; Lecanoromycetes; Lecanorales; Lecanoraceae.